CCUACGUGAGGCAGCAGUAGGGAAUAUUGCUCAAUGGGGGAAACCCUGAAGCAGCAACGCCGCGUGGAGGAUGAAGGUUUUCGGAUUGUAAACUCCUUUUGGUAGAGAAGAUAAUGACGGUAUCUAACGAAUAAGCACCGGCUAACUCCGUGCCAGCAGCCGCGGUAAUACGGAGGGUGCAAGCGUUACUCGGAAUCAUGGGACGGAUAGAGCGCGUAGGCGGGAUAGCAAGUCAGAUGUGAAAGCCUAGGGCUUAAACAUAGAAAUGCAUUUGAAACUGUUAUUCUAGAGUAUGGGAGAGGUAGGUGGAAUUCUUGGUGUAGGGGUAAAAUCCGUAGAGAUCAAGAGGAAUACUCAUUGCGAAGGCGACCUGCUAGCACAUAACUGACGCUGAUGCGCGAAAGCGUGGGGAGCAAACAGGAUUAGAUACCCCUGUAGUC
RNAcentral lists this ribosomal RNA (440 nucleotides) under uncultured bacterium. RNAcentral's name for it is "partial 16S ribosomal RNA". It matches the Rfam family "Bacterial small subunit ribosomal RNA", at positions 338 to 795 of the family's 1533-position model. The record is from RNAcentral.